GAUGAACGCUGGCGGCGUGCCUAAUACAUGCAAGUCGAGCGAACAGACGAGGAGCUUGCUCCUCUGACGUUAGCGGCGGACGGGUGAGUAACACGUGGAUAACCUACCUAUAAGACUGGGAUAACUUCGGGAAACCGGAGCUAAUACCGGAUAAUAUAUUGAACCGCAUGGUUCAAUAGUGAAAGACGGUUUUGCUGUCACUUAUAGAUGGAUCCGCGCCGCAUUAGCUAGUUGGUAAGGUAGCGGCUUACCAAGGCAACGAUGCGUAGCCGACCUGAGAGGGUGAUCGGCCACACUGGAACUGAGACACGGUCCAGACUCCUACGGGAGGCAGCAGUAGGGAAUCUUCCGCAAUGGGCGAAAGCCUGACGGAGCAACGCCGCGUGAGUGAUGAAGGUCUUCGGAUCGUAAAACUCUGUUAUUAGGGAAGAACAAAUGUGUAAGUAACUAUGCACGUCUUAACGGUACCUAAUCAGAAAGCCACGGCUAACUACGUG
RNAcentral lists this ribosomal RNA (497 nucleotides) under uncultured bacterium. Its description in RNAcentral is "partial 16S ribosomal RNA". It matches the Rfam family "Bacterial small subunit ribosomal RNA", at positions 28 to 507 of the family's 1533-position model. The record is from RNAcentral.